Molecule: non-coding RNA, 45 nt
Filed under: Schistosoma mansoni
Lineage: Eukaryota; Metazoa; Platyhelminthes; Trematoda; Strigeidida; Schistosomatidae
Source: RNAcentral
AUCCAGCUGACGAGUCCCGAAUAGGACGAAUCACGCGCCCCGGAU